GAGACACCCUAAUGGAACAGGACUUACUUCAGUGGGGCUUUGUUGCUCACUGAGUCUGCCCCCAUGAGUGUGUCACU
Molecule: microRNA precursor, 77 nt
Filed under: Myotis lucifugus (little brown bat)
Lineage: Eukaryota; Metazoa; Chordata; Mammalia; Chiroptera; Vespertilionidae
Description: mir-9229 microRNA precursor family
Rfam family: mir-9229 microRNA precursor family
Source: Rfam by way of RNAcentral